GCGGGGGCGGGGGCGGGGCCCGGGCCCUCUGGGCACUGAGACUGUGCCACCGCUGCCUCCUUCCAGGGUGCAGGGUCUGCACGGAGCUGCUCUGUCUGCCUGUGGGCCACAUGCUGCCACUCAUCCGGGCAAAGGAGCUUCUAGCCCCGUGUCUCCAUCAGUCAACCUGGGGUCUGACCUAGCACUCCACAGGGGCCCCCGCACCCAAGGUGGCAGGGCUUGCCUCUCUGGAGGCGGCCAGGAGCCACACUGCAGAAGCUUGGGCCACAGGGGCUCCCCAAACACCCACCCUCUGCCCCGGGCAGUGCUGGCCAUCAACUUAAGGCACCCCAGCUCUUUGACGGGGGUCAGCAGACCCCAGCUCGACGGGGGCCCGCCACGACUGCAGAGGAGGAAAGAGCACAAGUGCGGGGCAGCCUUGGAGGCACUUGCAUCUGAGCCGCCACACCUGCCUAGGGGACAGCCGGACAGUGUGGUGUCACCUGACCGCUGUGUGCCUGCACACCUUCAGCACAAGUGCCAGGUUCGUGCCUCCUCCGGUCGUGCAUUCCGCCAGCCACCGGCAGGGCUGAAAGCCAGCGUUCUGGUGACCAUGCUGGCUGCAGUGCGACACUCGGGCUUGUGCCAUUGGGCGUCAGAACCAGUGUGGCUUUGUGGGGGGAAGCGAUGGCCAUGCUGGGGAGACCGGUGGAGGCCGAGCUGAGGCUCAGCAGGUGGGAGGAAGAGAACGCAGGAAGGCCCAGCCCCCGGCCAGAGACGUGGAGCCUGUCACUCGCAGCAUCCAGACCCACGAAGAGCGGGAGCAGCAGUUUGUAUGAACGCGCACUUGUGAUCCUCAGGGUCUGCCUGAGCGAGCCGAGGCCGACACCCACAGGGCCACUGUCCUGCGAAGGGACCGCCGCCACCUCGCUGCGCCCGCCCAGCGGCCCCGAGCACAGGGCGCCUGGGACACUCCUGCAGCGGGCCUGCCGUCCUCUGGCGGCGCGGGGCUGCCCUUCUGUCUUCACACGUCCACACUGUCGCCAGGCUCUACCCUCCACAGCCCGAGGGGAGGCCUUGAAACCACGCAUUUCGGUACCCUGAUAGAAGACGGGACGGAAACCCAGGAGGGAAGCGAACUCUCAGUCUCUCGAGAGCAGCAAGUUCCUCUGUAAAGGGAAGGCCUGCCCUUCCCUGAGCACACGGUGGCCCGGACACACAGUGCCCGCCCCUCCAGGCCCCUCAGGCGGCUCCCUGCUCCUCUGUGUGCAGAAGUGGGACGUGCAGAGCAAGCGGUGUCCACAGGGCUCGGGGUCACUGCAAUGGAUUUCUGUGUGGGUGGGUUUUUUCCUUAUACAAGCACCGCUUUUUAAGACAAGAAGAAACAGCUUGGGUACGACACAGUUCCAACCAACAUGACAAGGAAACAUUUUUACUGACUGACCUACCUUUUAUAAAGCCUGAGUCAUUUAAUAGGUGGUUCUGUUUCUUCCUGAAAGGUCUCAGUAAUACCUGUUCCUCGUUCUUGGGAAAGUCACUCAAAGUCUUGAGGGAAAACCAAGACUGCACCCAAGAGGGUGCAGGAGCGCCUCUCUGCCCAGGCUGUGCACGGCAGGCCGCGCCGGCAGCCGCUGCCUCAGGGUCUGUCGGCACUGCGGCUGCGUGGAGGCCACGCGCUCUGGGCCUCGCGUGGCGGCUUCACACUGCCGCCCCUCCACCACACGGACCCGCGGGCCCGGGGCUGAGCCUCCUGCCAUGCUGCCUGUCCGCCAGAUGUCCCUGCCGCCCACCCUUACCUCUCCACAGCGAGCCGCAACACACGUCUGCGUUUUAUUUCAUAGGAAGUUGGGAACAGAGUACAAAGAACACAAAACUCAUUCUUGUUUAUGUUUGUAUCACAGCCAAUUGAUUUUAGGAUUUAACCUUAGUAACAACGUUAUCUACUGACUGUUAGGAUUCAAAACCAGUUAAGUGAUAGGAGUUUUCCUAAGUAGUAUUUAUAAAAUAUAAGGUUCCUCAAAGAUUUUCCUCACAGACACAGUUCCAUCAGGGUGACUGUCUCAACCCAGACUCUAGACAACACAUGCUGUGCCUGACUGCUGGGCCCAGGCAGUCCCCAGACAGAAUGGGGACACGGAGACAGUGGCUGCCGCUGCGACACGUCUGUGGAUGAUCCCUGGCGGCAACCAUGCCUACCCCCACCGGCUGUUCAUUCAGGGGGCACGUGCUCAGAGAACGAGCCUGCAUCGCUCUGUGCUGAUGCUAAAAGAGAAUGCUCAUCAGACAGGGCUGCACUCAGACCCCGAGAGCCCGCCCUUGGAAGGCCCAACCCUCGUGGGGGCAGCAGGGGCCCCAGGAAAAGAAGAGCCCGGUCAGCUUGCUGCUCUCUGACAAUUCAAAACUUUUACCAUUUAGUUUGAGGCUCCUUUUUAAAAACAAAAUUUCUGAUCAGGUGUUCGCUAAAACUGAAGUGUUACUUUGUCAAAAUAUUUAUUCCUUUGUGUGACAUGCUAGAUUCCCAUGGAUGUAGCUGAUCAUUUCUACUGUAAAUAUUACCUAACUUUACAUAAACGAUGUCAUAAUAAACUAUUUUUGCAUCACCCUUUGUAUGCUGUGAACAGAGGUUUUGUUUAACGGAAGGACACAAAGCAAAACAAGCAUUUAGGCC
Bos taurus (domestic cattle) is the source of this 2647-nucleotide long non-coding RNA. Lineage: Eukaryota; Metazoa; Chordata; Mammalia; Artiodactyla; Bovidae. The record is from Ensembl.